GCUUGCUCCCUGGUGGCGAGCGGCGGACGGGUGAGUAAUGCAUAGGAAUCUGCCCGGUAGUGGGGGAUAACCUGGGGAAACUCAGGCUAAUACCGCAUACGCCCCAUGGGGGAAAGCGGGGGACCUUCGGGCCUCGCGCUAUCGGAUGAGCCUAUGUCGGAUUAGCUGGUUGGUGAGGUAACGGCUCACCAAGGCGACGAUCCGUAGCUGGUCUGAGAGGAUGAUCAGCCACACUGGGACUGAGACACGGCCCAGACUCCUACGGGAGGCAGCAGUGGGGAAUAUUGGACAAUGGGGGCAACCCUGAUCCAGCCAUGCCGCGUGUGUGAAGAAGGCCUUCGGGUUGUAAAGCACUUUCAGCGAGGAAGAAGGCUUUCGGGCGAAUACCCCGGAAGAAGGACAUCACUCGCAGAAGAAGCACCGGCUAACUCCGUGCCAGCAGCCGCGGUAAUACGGAGGGUGCGAGCGUUAAUCGGAAUUACUGGGCGUAAAGCGCGCGUAGGCGGCUCGAUAAGCCGGUUGUGAAAGCCCCGGGCUCAACCUGGGAAUGGCAUCCGGAACUGUGGGGCUAGAGUGCAGGAGAGGAAGGUAGAAUUCCCGGUGUAGCGGUGAAAUGCGUAGAGAUCGGGAG
Molecule: ribosomal RNA, 631 nt
Filed under: Halomonas flava
Lineage: Bacteria; Pseudomonadati; Pseudomonadota; Gammaproteobacteria; Oceanospirillales; Halomonadaceae
Description: bacterial SSU rRNA
Rfam family: Bacterial small subunit ribosomal RNA
Source: RNAcentral